Molecule: ribosomal RNA, 460 nt
Filed under: uncultured bacterium
Lineage: Bacteria
Description: partial 16S ribosomal RNA
Rfam family: Bacterial small subunit ribosomal RNA
Source: RNAcentral
CCUACGGGAGGCAGCAGUGAGGAAUAUUGGUCAAUGGACGAGAGUCUGAACCAGCCAAGUAGCGUGAAGGAUGACUGCCCUAUGGGUUGUAAACUUCUUUUAUAUGGGAAUAAAAUGUUCCACGUGUGGGUUUUUGUAUGUACCAUAUGAAUAAGGAUCGGCUAACUCCGUGCCAGCAGCCGCGGUAAUACGGAGGAUCCGAGCGUUAUCCGGAUUUAUUGGGUUUAAAGGGAGCGUAGGUGGAUUGUUAAGUCAGUUGUGAAAGUUUGCGGCUCAACCGUAAAAUUGCAGUUGAAACUGGCAGUCUUGAGUACAGGAGAGGUGGGCGGAAUGCGUGGUGUAGCGGUGAAAUGCUUAGAUAUCACGAAGAACUCCGAUUGCGAAGGCAGCUCACUGGACUGCAACUGACACUGAGGCUCGAAAGUGUGGGUAUCAAACAGGAUUAGAUACCCCAGUAGGC